This 56-nucleotide transfer RNA is filed under the name Caenorhabditis sp. Its description in RNAcentral is "tRNA-Tyr". The record is from RNAcentral. Lineage: Eukaryota; Metazoa; Nematoda; Chromadorea; Rhabditida; Rhabditidae.
AAGAGUUUAGUUUAAUUAAAAAUGUUAGAUUGUAAAUCUAAAGUUUGUUACUCUUA